Molecule: ribosomal RNA, 499 nt
Filed under: uncultured bacterium
Lineage: Bacteria
Description: bacterial SSU rRNA
Rfam family: Bacterial small subunit ribosomal RNA
Source: RNAcentral
CAGGACGAACGCUGGCGGCGUGCUUAACACAUGCAAGUCGAACGGGGAUACUCGAACGGAAAGCUUCGGCCGGAAGAUUGGGUAUUCUAGUGGCGGACGGGUGAGUAACGCGUGAACAAUCUGUCCCAGACAGGGGGAUAACACUUGGAAACAGGUGCUAAUACCGCAUAAGACCACGGCACCGCAUGGUGGAGGGGUAAAAGGAGCAAUCCGGUCUGGAGUGAGUUCGCGUCCGAUUAGAUAGUUGGUGAGGUAACGGCCCACCAAGUCGACGAUCGGUAGCCGACCUGAGAGGGUGAUCGGCCACAUUGGAACUGAGAGACGGUCCAAACUCCUACGGGAGGCAGCAGUGGGGAAUAUUGGGCAAUGGGCGAAAGCCUGACCCAGCAACGCCGCGUGAGUGAAGAAGGCUUUCGGGUUGUAAAGCUCUGUUGUGGACGACGAAGGAAGUGACGGUAGUCCACAAGGAAGCCCCGGCUAACUACGUGCCAGCAGCCGC